UAUAAGGUGGUUGAGAUAAACAAUAAACUGUAAAUUUAUAUACGGGUAGCMCCCCCUUGUAU
This 62-nucleotide transfer RNA is filed under the name Amynthas yambaruensis. Its description in RNAcentral is "tRNA-Tyr". Lineage: Eukaryota; Metazoa; Annelida; Clitellata; Crassiclitellata; Megascolecidae. The record is from RNAcentral.